UUCCAAAUAAGGAAGUUGCAUAUCAAAAAGCUCUCUCACAAGAAUGAGAAAUUCUCAUUAACACGCAUCAUAUGCAUACAUGACAUAAUAAAUCCUUCCCGUCAACCCUUUGAUGAUGACAUAACCUGGCUUUUUCUUUUCCGUCAACCUUUUGACGAUGACAAACUCUUUUCCAUCAGCCCUCUGAUGAUGAUAUUUUACAAAAUUCCUUUUCCACCAACCCUUUGGUGAUGCCACUCCCUAGUGAAGUUUCUUUCCGUCAACCCUUUGACGAUG
This 276-nucleotide long non-coding RNA is filed under the name Lathyrus oleraceus (garden pea). RNAcentral describes it as "Pisum sativum (pea) long non-coding RNA (PSAT_LNC001513)". The record is from RNAcentral. Lineage: Eukaryota; Viridiplantae; Streptophyta; Magnoliopsida; Fabales; Fabaceae.